This 254-nucleotide ribosomal RNA is filed under the name uncultured bacterium. RNAcentral's name for it is "partial 16S ribosomal RNA". It matches the Rfam family "Bacterial small subunit ribosomal RNA", at positions 524 to 776 of the family's 1533-position model. The record is from RNAcentral.
UACGUAGGAUCCAAGCGCUAUCCGGAUUUACUGGGCGUAAAGAGUUGCGUAGGUGGCAUAGUAAGUCAGUAGUGAAAUCCUGGGGCUCAACCCCUUCAACAUUAUUGAAACUACUAAGCUAGAGAAUGAGAGAGGUUACUGGAAUUCCAAGUGUAGGAGUGAAAUCCGUAGAUAUUUGGAGGAACACCGAUGGCGUAGGCAGGUAACUGGCUCAUUUCUGACACUAAGGCACGAAAGCGUGGGGAGCAAACGGG